Molecule: ribosomal RNA, 479 nt
Filed under: uncultured bacterium
Lineage: Bacteria
Description: partial 16S ribosomal RNA
Rfam family: Bacterial small subunit ribosomal RNA
Source: RNAcentral
GAUGAACGCUGGCGGCGUGCUUAACACAUGCAAGUCGAACGAAGCACCUUGAUUUGAUUCUUCGGAUGAAGAUCUUGGUGACUGAGUGGCGGACGGGUGAGUAACGCGUGGGUAACCUGCCUCAUACAGGGGGAUAACAGUUAGAAAUGACUGCUAAUACCGCAUAAGACCACAGCACCGCAUGGUGCAGGGGUAAAAACUCCGGUGGUAUGAGAUGGACCCGCGUCUGAUUAGGUAGUUGGUGGGGUAACGGCCUACCAAGCCGGCGAUCAGUAGCCGACCUGAGAGGGUGACCGGCCACAUUGGGACUGAGACACGGCCCAAACUCCUACGGGAGGCAGCAGUGGGGAAUAUUGCACAAUGGGGGAAACCCUGAUGCAGCGACGCCGCGUGAGCGAUGAAGUAUUUCGGUAUGUAAAGCUCUAUCAGCAGGGAAGAAAAUGACGGUACCUGACUAAGAAGCACCGGCUAAAUACGUG